CCUACGGGAGGCAGCAGUGGGGAAUUUUGGACAAUGGGCGCAAGCCUGAUCCAGCAAUGCCGCGUGAGUGAAGAAGGCCUUCGGGUUGUAAAGCUCUUUUGUCAGGGAAGAAACGGCUGCGGCUAAUAUCCGCGGCUAAUGACGGUACCUGAAGAAUAAGCACCGGCUAACUACGUGCCAGCAGCCGCGGUAAUACGUAGGGUGCAAGCGUUAAUCGGAAUUACUGGGCGUAAAGCGUGCGCAGGCGGUUUUGUAAGUCUGACGUGAAAGCCCCGGGCUCAACCUGGGAAUUGCGUUGGAGACUGCAAGGCUUGAAUCUGGCAGAGGGGGGUAGAAUUCCACGUGUAGCAGUGAAAUGCGUAGAGAUGUGGAGGAACACCGAUGGCGAAGGCAGCCCCCUGGGUCAAGAUUGACGUUCAUGCACGAAAGCGUGGGGAGCAAACAGGAUUAGAUACCCUGGUAGUCCACGCCCUAAACGAUGUCUACUAGUUGUCGGGUUUUAAUAACUUGGUAACGCAGCUAACGCGUGAAGUAGACCGCCUGGGGAUACGGUCGCAAGNUUAAAACUUAAAUGAAUUGACGG
This 583-nucleotide ribosomal RNA is filed under the name uncultured bacterium. RNAcentral describes it as "bacterial SSU rRNA". It matches the Rfam family "Bacterial small subunit ribosomal RNA", at positions 338 to 916 of the family's 1533-position model. The record is from RNAcentral.